ACACCCGUUCCCAUUCCGAACACGGCCGUUAAGCUCGCCAGGGCCGAUAAUACUCGCAAGGGGAAGGUAGGUCGUUGCCUGGA
This 83-nucleotide ribosomal RNA is filed under the name Planctomycetota bacterium. The record is from RNAcentral. Lineage: Bacteria; Pseudomonadati; Planctomycetota.